CAUUUUAAACGGAAUGACGGGGAGGGGAGGCGCGCAGCUUACGUGUAAUUAAGAUUGCAAAAUGGCGAGGGGGGAGGUGACACCAAGCUCGAUCAGAAACUAUGCCACUGGUGAAGAGGUAUAUUGAGCCCUGCGUGGCCCAGUGAGGUUACUAGAGAAUUGGAAGAGUCUCAAAUCAGCAUCCUGCACAUGGUUAUCAAACCAUUGUGAAGUCUUAGUAAGUGGUCAGUGGCUCUGGUGGGCUUGCCCAGUUAGUGUCUUAACAGGCACUAGGCAGUUACUUGAUAUUUUCCCAUUAUGAUAUGAAAAGUUUUUUGUUUUUUGUUUUUUUAGGGCUGUACCCGUGGCAUAUGGAGGUUCCCAGGCUAGGGUUCAAAUUGGAGCUGUAGCUAUAUGCAGGCCUACACCACCCACAGCUAUAGCAACUUGGGAUCCGAGCUGCGUCUGCAACCUACGCCACAGCUCACGAGAGUGCUGGAUCCUUAACCCACUGAGUGAGGCCAGGGAUUGAACCUGUGUCCUCAUGGAUACUAGUUGUGUUCUUAACCCACUGAGCCACAAUGGGAACUCCAAAAAACAGUCUUUAUUUCAGACUAGAGAGUGAUGAGCCUAAUCUCUCUCUUUCCCCGUCUCCCAUUUUUGCAGAUGAUAUCUUGCCCACCAUAAUAGUUGGUGUAGAAAAUGGAUUUGAAUCCAAGCCCAAUAUUGUUUCUUCCACCUAGUGCUUCCUCUAGAUUCCACCUAAGUCCAAGGAGGCGAUGUGAGACAGAAACAUUUUUAUUCCACAUGGAAAGAUUAUAAUAGCCUCUGACAUUGUGCUCCUCUGAUGAAGGAAAUGUCCAUGGUAUAAAUUUUUAUUGUGCAUAAAAUCACCUGGGAAGCUUGUUAAAAAUGCAGAUUCCUAGGCAGCUAGAAGCCUUGUCAUUGGUCCAGAGCAACAUGAAGACCUACUUGUCACUUACACUGAGGCUUCCUGCCCAGUGGGUUCACCAGCAAGCCAGAAGGAAGCAUCACUGCCAUGGAUGUCCUUGUGAGGCAGUUGUGAAGCCUUGGAGAGCUUUAGAAACAACUUGUCAAGUUUUCACCACAAAUACCAUUGGAGUUACAAUUGGAGUCUCACUGAAUUAUAGAGUAAUUUUUGGAGAGCUAUCAUCUUUAUAAUCUUCUCAUACAUGAAUGUGUCUUGGCUACUUGUAGAUGUUGCAUUGCUGCUGCCGCUGCUGCUGUUACUACAACUACAAUUGCUGCCAGUUGCUCCUUGCGUAGGACCAGAGUGAUCAUUCAUCAGAAACCUCAUCUUCACAGUCUGGGGUUUGUUCCUGUGGCUGGUAUUCACAGUUUUCCCCUUCCAACUUUACCUCAGCUAUCCCCUUACCUACAUUAACAGGUAGGCUUCCAGUUUAUGUUCACCACCCAACAGGCUCAUAUUUCCUUUUUCUUAUUUAGUGUGAUUAAUCAUUAGUGCUUCAUGAGAAGCCUUCUUUCUGUUAGAAAAUGUGACAACUAGAAUACAAGUUAAACCAUUCCAUUCAGGGCCCUACAGUGAGUCAUGUAAGCUCCCUUUUAAAAUGAGAGAAAGUUGAGCAUGCUUGCAGACUAUAAGGCAUGUCUUUGUACGUGUGGAAGAGAAAUGAUAACCUAUCGCUCUUAGAAUACAGGUGGAGGCCUAUCCUUAGAUGAAAGGAGUUACCUCUUCACUGAGGUAUAGUGAUGAUAAGAAUAGGAGUUGGGAAGAGUACCUGAUAAAGGUGUUGCAGAUUUGUAAUUGUAGAGGUGGAUGGUGGAUAGGCAGCUGACCAGGGAUCAGACUGUGGACAAAAGAGUCUAAGGAAUAUCCAGGCCAAAAGGCUGGAGCAGAGCACUUACGGCAUAUGGAAGUGGGCAGCUAGUUUGAAAGUUGAUUAGAGAGGAAAAUAUAAAGUGGUCUUGGGCCACUGUCACAACUAACAUUCGGUUGCCUGGAACUGACCUCGAUUGAGGGAUGGACAGCUAGGAAGAGAGGUGUUACACAGAAAUGGAAUUAAGGAUCCAGAGUGUAUAUGGAAGGAAGUUAGUUCAGAAGUGAGUUCAAAGUCUGUACAGAAAAAGAGGCCUUAGUGUGUUCAAGAUGGAUGUUGAGUAGUUAGAAAACUGGAAUGAUAGGACCAGUAUCAGAAAGUGAACUUUGGAAUGUUAAAAUUUAAAAACUAGAGCAAGAUACUUGUGAUACUAGGAUGUCAGAUGGUCAUUUGCCUGGAUAUUGAAGUGACCUGGGAUUAUAGUAAAAGCUGGGCUAGGAAUGAGACUGUGAGCUAGAUAAAAUAGGCUUUAGUAACUGAGUAACUAUCUGGAGAUUGGCACAUGACAACUCUGCAGAUGCAAGAGAAGAGAGGAUGUAGUGGGAUAGUAGUACAAGUCUCAAAGAGUGGUGAGGAUUAUUAGAAGAUACAGAAACUGUGCUUCGCACAUUAUACUGAAGUUUUGGCUGGCAGAAUGCACAACUAAAAUGAUCCUCUCCUAUAUCAAGUGCUUGUUCUAUGCCAAACACCUUGCUGUGUGCCAUCUGUUUAUCCCUUUGGGGUCACAUUUUUUGUGCGAAAAUGAGCCACAAUCCCAGGCAAGGAUAGCUAGGCUGCUGACCCUCAGCACUGGUAGAAUCCUCUAGCCAUCUACUAACUCUGGAAGAGCAACAGGCUGGUCGUCUGGAAGUAUCAUAAAGAGAUUUCUUUAGGAUUGAAAUUUUUCCUUGACCUUGAUGUAACUUCAUUAUGUGAUACAAGCUUUUGUUGGCUCUGUUUCAUAAUGUGCUUUGGCUUCUGAGUCUCUAAGUUGAGAAGUGAACUAAUACUGCCCUUUGGGAAAAACAGGCACAGUACUUUAAAAAUACACACUGAUUAAUCGGAGCAAGACACAGUCAUAUUAUCUAAAUGAGUUUUCAAGAUAAAGAGUAGGCAAAAGAUAGUGCACAUCAAUGGGUGAAUAACAAAACCACUUUGUAAAAGCCAUUUAGGGUCAGGAUACUUCCAGUUUGGUUGCCAUAUUAUAGGUGUUCCCUGUGCUUUUGGGAAGGAAGGCUGGAUUGAUGCAAAGAGAUGGCUGUUAGGACUUGGAAGUUUAGGAAGAGAGUCUCUGUAAACCCUCUGAUAUUGCUUGCAGCCAUUUUUCUUUUGCAGUAGUCUUUAAAUGAGUCAAUAUUCCUAAAAGCUAUAGAGCCUAUAGACCAGGCUCUCAGAUAGCCCAUUCCCUCUUGUGGGGCUGCUCUAUAUUUGUUCCUUAGGAGUUGCUGGUAGAAGACUUCAUGAAGGAGAGAAGAAAAGGAAAAAAUCAGAGGAUGACUACAGCCUCCUUCAUCUCAGCUUUUCAAAGCAUUACUCAACAGAGGGAUCACUCUCUUGAAUACUCUCCAGACCACAGGCCAUCAGUCUAUUACAGGCUCUAACUGGGAGGAGCCUUAUUGUGAAUGAAGCUUCGGUGGGUGCUAGGAGUAACACCGUGUUUCUCUGGAUAUGAGAAGAAUGGAGGGCAGAGAGCAAGGGAAGGAAGCUAUGAAAUAUUGGAGUAACAAAUGCUUGACGUUUUAGUGGGUAUUGGACCUAGAAGCCUAUAUGAUUGAAGGAAGCAAACCUGGAGAGGUCUGAUGUUUGUGAGUGAAGAUAGGAGUGAACUCCUUAUUGCAAUUAAAAAUGGAGUGAGGGGGAGGAAAAAAAUGACAGAAAUCAUAAGAUCCAUUACUUCAGUGAAGGAAGCACUGAGACUUGCUUCAUAAACCUGUAAUUUUUAAAGGUAGAUUGAAGAUAAGUUGUUGUGCUGCACUAUUUCUAUUCCUACCCGUGAGAGUUACUGCCAGCCACUCUUCUCAGGUAGAUCUGCCUUUAUGGAAAUUUCUGUUGACCCACGUAAAGAAACAACCCAGAAAAACAUUUGCAACAUUGAAGAACUCUGGUUCAGUGACAGGGUGUUAAAGGAGUCGAGGAUAGAGGAAAUAGCUCAAGUAGUACCAAAUAGCUCAGGUUGUUUUUUUUUUUUUCUUUUUAAUAGGAUGAUUGGGCCAGAGACAGUGGGCAGAAUGACUUCAGGCAACCCCAAACACCAGAUAUGGCAUAAGGAAACAGUUCAAGGAAAAGGUCAAUCCUUGGACCUAGUAUUUGUGAUGCAAUAUCUUAAAUUAAAAGGAAGAGCUGCUUUGGAGAAGGGUUUUAAAAGAUUGUAUUUCAUAGAAAGAAGAAAGAUUUGAGGAGAAACUUCCAAUUAUAUAAGAUGGGCAUUAUAACUAUUAAAGACAUCUGUUGCCUGCAUGGGUCAUAGAGAUUGAUACCAGUAUCAGCCUGUGGCUGACUAGGCCAGUUUAAGUGGUUUCCUGUUCGAAGAGAGAUGCUGCCAUUCUCUCACUUUGGCAGGUAUUCACCUGCAAUGAGUCCAGUACCUGGAGGAGCAAGAAAAAAACAAGCAUCCAGGGGGACAAUAGUAUAGCCUUCUGAGUUAAGAUAGCAACUGAAAAGAUCAUGGGAUUGGCUGCACUGGGCUGGGCUUGUUUGUUUUUUCAAAAUAAAAAAGUUUUCUUUUUGAUGACAAAAGUAAGAGAUGAUCAUUCUUUAAAAAUAAAGUGAAAAGUAUAAAAGAGUAAUGUGCUUCCUUUUACUCUAAAAAAAGUGUAUAUAACACAGUUUAAAAAUAAAAUUGACAUUGUAUUUUCUGACUUUUCUCAUUUAAAAAUAAGCAUUCUUCCAUGUCAUUAACAUUAUUUAAAAAUACAAUAUUGUGUCACAUUUCAUAUGGAUCUAACAAAAUUUAUUUAGAUCGUCUCAUGAUGCAGAUAUUUUGGAUGUUACCAAUUUUGUUUAUAAAAUUCUGAUGAACAUAUUGUAUAUUCACCUUUAUAUGCAUCUCUAUUUCUUUAGAAUUAAUUCCUAGAAUUGGAAUUACUGAGUUUGAAUUAUGAGAGCAUUAUUAGGGCACCUGAAAGGUACUGUUAAAUUAUACUGAAUAUAGUCACACAAAUUACAUUCCCAUCAGUGGUGCAUGAAUGUGCUAUUUCUCCACACAUUCAUCAAAACAUGCUCUUUCCUUUAAUAAAUCUCUGAUCAUUUGAUAGGUAAAUUUCCAUUUGUUUUAGAGAUUGUUUCUAAUUUACAUACACUAAAAUUCACUCUUACAGUGUAUAGUUCUAUAGUUUGACAAGUAUAGAGUCAUGUGUUCUUCCAUUCUAGUACCAUACAGAACUGUUUCAUCUCUAGUAAUUUCUCUUGAUUGCACUUUUUGUUGUAAAUCCCUUUCCCCAUCUUCAGUCCCUGGAAACUACUUGUUUGUCAUCUAUCCCUAUGGUUUUUGCCUUUUACAGAAAGUCAUAUGGAUGGAAUCAUGCAAUAUGUAGACCUUUUUGAUCUGGCUUCUUUCACUUAGUAAAAUGAAUUUAAGUAUCAUCUACAUUGUUUUUAGGUAAAUUAAUAUUCAUUCCUUUUUAUUUUUGUACUUCAUUGUAUGGCUAUACCAGUUUGUUUAUCCAUUCAUUAAUGGAUAGACAUGUGAGAUGUUUCCAUUUUUAGGCCAUUAUAAAUAAAGUUGCUAUAAACUC
Molecule: long non-coding RNA, 5551 nt
Filed under: Sus scrofa (pig)
Lineage: Eukaryota; Metazoa; Chordata; Mammalia; Artiodactyla; Suidae
Description: lncRNA (ENSSSCG00050037484.1)
Source: RNAcentral